This is a long non-coding RNA of Xenopus laevis (African clawed frog), 694 nucleotides long. RefSeq lists it as uncharacterized. NCBI's taxonomy places the organism in Eukaryota, Metazoa, Chordata, Amphibia, Anura, Pipidae. The transcript has 3 exons. The record is from RefSeq and is a predicted model, not a curated record.
CAGAUGUGUCAAGUAUGUCGAACAGCCCUUUAAAGUAUACUAUGUAUGGUUUGCUGGGGGCUAAGAUUGGGCCAGCAGUUGUCUAAACCUGGUGGGAGGAGUCCAAAUGAACCCAUAAAUGACCACUGAAUUCGGGAAUUUGGUCUUCCUAAUCCUGCUGCUAAUGUUUAUUUUGCAUUGUUCGAUCUCCUGCUGCCUACAAUGCUGGAUAAAGAGAGACACAAGAUAUUCAUCUACACGUACAGUCACUGUGUUUACCUUGAGCAGCUUGGAUUCUGUAUACGAAAAAGUAAUCAAAAAAAUCCUGUUCCUGAGUGGUUAGUUGUUCAGCAGUUUCAGCUUUUACAGAACAACACAGAUUCAAAUUACCAUUAAUAGGGCUGAUGGCUAGUUCCUCUGCUCAAAUCUUUGAAAAACUGGAAAUAAGAAAAUAAUUUUUAAUCGUUUUUAAUAUAAACAAGGGAAGGUAAUACAGGAAUACAGUAAUAAAACACACAGUAGUUGGUAAACUAAAUAACUUUUUAUCUAAAAGUAAAUGGCCAACAAAUACAAGCAGCACUCCUAGCAAGGUGGCAAAAAUAGGGGCCUCACUAACUAACUACUGUAUACAGGCACAAACUGUCUGACUAACUAAAAGAAAGUAAAGUCUUUUAAAGGAAUUGUUCAGUAUAAAAAUACAAGCUGAGUAAAUAGA